UAUUGACGCGCAGUGCCGCUUAUCUGCAUUUGGGCGUGAAAUCAAAGGUUUGGUGCUUACACCACAUGAUACGUGCAUGCGCCCGACUCUUUUUGGGUUUAGCGCUGCACUGUAAAGAAGCGCGGAAUGCGGUCCCUGAAACACUGUGAAAUUGUUAGUGCUGUGUAGAAUUUUCAAUUCAAU
This is a non-coding RNA of Caenorhabditis elegans, 183 nucleotides long. NCBI's taxonomy places the organism in Eukaryota, Metazoa, Nematoda, Chromadorea, Rhabditida, Rhabditidae. The record is from Ensembl.